This 465-nucleotide ribosomal RNA is filed under the name uncultured Klebsiella sp. RNAcentral's name for it is "bacterial SSU rRNA". It matches the Rfam family "Bacterial small subunit ribosomal RNA", at positions 338 to 795 of the family's 1533-position model. The record is from RNAcentral. Lineage: Bacteria; Pseudomonadati; Pseudomonadota; Gammaproteobacteria; Enterobacterales; Enterobacteriaceae.
CCUACGGGCGGCUGCAGUAGGGAAUAUUGCACAAUGGGCGCAAGCCUGAUGCAGCCAUGCCGCGUGUGUGAAGAAGGCCUUCGGGUUGUAAAGCACUUUCAGCGGGGAGGAAGGCGGUGAGGUUAAUAACCUCAUCGAUUGACGUUACCCGCAGAAGAAGCACCGGCUAACUCCGUGCCAGCGGCCGCGGUAAUACGGAGGGUGCAAGCGUUAAUCGGAAUUACUGGGCGUAAAGCGCACGCAGGCGGUCUGUCAAGUCGGAUGUGAAAUCCCCGGGCUCAACCUGGGAACUGCAUUCGAAACUGGCAGGCUAGAGUCUUGUAGAGGGGGGUAGAAUUCCAGGUGUAGCGGUGAAAUGCGUAGAGAUCUGGAGGAAUACCGGUGGCGAAGGCGGCCCCCUGGACAAAGACUGACGCUCAGGUGCGAAAGCGUGGGGAGCAAACAGGAUUAGAUACCCUAGUAGUC